GGGUUGUGAGGUUAAGCGACUAAGCGUACACGGUGGAUGCCCUGGCAGUCAGAGGCGAUGAAGGACGUGCUAAUCUGCGAAAAGCGUCGGUAAGGUGAUAUGAACCGUUAUAACCGGCGAUGUCCGAAUGGGGAAACCCAGUGCAAUUCGUUGCACUAUCGUUAACUGAAUACAUAGGUUAACGAGGCGAACCGGGGGAACUGAAACAUCUAAGUACCCCGAGGAAAAGAAAUCAACCGAGAUUCCCCCAGUAGCGGCGAGCGAACGGGGAGCAGCCCAGAGUCUGAAUCAGCUUGUGUGUUAGUGGAACGGUCUGGAAAGUCCGACGGUACAGGGUGAUAGUCCCGUACACCAAAAUGCACAGGUUGUGAACUCGAAGAGUAGGGCGGGACACGUGGUAUCCUGUCUGAAUAUGGGGGGACCAUCCUCCAAGGCUAAAUACUCCUGACUGACCGAUAGUGAACCAGUACCGUGAGGGAAAGGCGAAAAGAACCCCGGCGAGGGGAGUGAAAAAGAACCUGAAACCGUGUACGUACAAGCAGUGGGAGCACCUUCGGGUGUGACUGCGUACCUUUUGUAUAAUGGGUCAGCGACUUAUAUUCUGUAGCAAGGUUAACCGUAUAGGGGAGCCGCAGGGAAACCGAGUCUUAACUGGGCGUUAAGUUGCAGGGUAUAGACCCGAAACCCGGUGAUCUAGCCAUGGGCAGGUUGAAGGUUGGGUAACACUAACUGGAGGACCGAACCGACUAAUGUUGAAAAAUUAGCGGAUGACUUGUGGCUGGGGGUGAAAGGCCAAUCAAACCGGGAGAUAGCUGGUUCUCCCCGAAAGCUAUUUAGGUAGCGCCUCGUGAACUCAUCUUCGGGGUAGAGCACUGUUUCGGCUAGGGGGUCAUCCCGACUUACCAACCCGAUGCAAACUACGAAUACCGAAGAAUGUUAUCACGGGAGACACACGGCGGGUGCUAACGUCCGUCGUGAAGAGGGAAACAACCCAGACCGCCAGCUAAGGUCCCAAAGUCAUGGUUAAGUGGGAAACGAUGUGGGAAGGCACAGACAGCCAGGAUGUUGGCUUAGAAGCAGCCAUCAUUUAAAGAAAGCGUAAUAGCUCACUGGUCGAGUCGGCCUGCGCGGAAGAUGUAACGGGGCUAAACCAUGCACCGAAGCUGCGGCAGCGACACUAUGUGUUGUUGGGUAGGGGAGCGUUCUGUAAGCCUGCGAAGGUGACCUGUGAGGGUUGCUGGAGGUAUCAGAAGUGCGAAUGCUGACAUAAGUAACGAUAAAGCGGGUGAAAAGCCCGCUCGCCGGAAGACCAAGGGUUCCUGUCCAACGUUAAUCGGGGCAGGGUGAGUCGACCCCUAAGGCGAGGCCGAAAGGCGUAGUCGAUGGGAAACAGGUUAAUAUUCCUGUACUUGGUGUUACUGCGAAGGGGGGACGGAGAAGGCUAUGUUAGCCGGGCGACGGUUGUCCCGGUUUAAGCAUGUAGGCUGGUUGUCCAGGCAAAUCCGGAUAAUCAAGGCUGAGGUGUGAUGACGAGGCACUACGGUGCUGAAGUAACAAAUGCCCUGCUUCCAGGAAAAGCCUCUAAGCAUCAGGUAACAUUAAAUCGUACCCCAAACCGACACAGGUGGUCAGGUAGAGAAUACCAAGGCGCUUGAGAGAACUCGGGUGAAGGAACUAGGCAAAAUGGUGCCGUAACUUCGGGAGAAGGCACGCUGGUGUGUAGGUGAAGCCCCUGCGGGUGGAGCUGAGACCAGUCGAAGAUACCAGCUGGCUGCAACUGUUUAUUAAAAACACAGCACUGUGCAAACACGAAAGUGGACGUAUACGGUGUGACGCCUGCCCGGUGCCGGAAGGUUAAUUGAUGGGGUUAUCCGUAAGGAGAAGCUCUUGAUCGAAGCCCCGGUAAACGGCGGCCGUAACUAUAACGGUCCUAAGGUAGCGAAAUUCCUUGUCGGGUAAGUUCCGACCUGCACGAAUGGCGUAAUGAUGGCCAGGCUGUCUCCACCCGAGACUCAGUGAAAUUGAACUCGCUGUGAAGAUGCAGUGUACCCGCGGCAAGACGGAAAGACCCCGUGAACCUUUACUAUAGCUUGACACUGAACAUUGAGCCUUGAUGUGUAGGAUAGGUGGGAGGCUUUGAAGCGUGGACGCCAGUCUGCGUGGAGCCAACCUUGAAAUACCACCCUUUAAUGUUUGAUGUUCUAACGUUGGCCCCUUACCGGGGUUGCGGACAGUGUCUGGUGGGUAGUUUGACUGGGGCGGUCUCCUCCUAAAGCGUAACGGAGGAGCACGAAGGUUAGCUAAUCCUGGUCGGACAUCAGGAGGUUAGUGCAAUGGCAUAAGCUAGCUUGACUGCGAGCGUGACGGCGCGAGCAGGUGCGAAAGCAGGUCAUAGUGAUCCGGUGGUUCUGAAUGGAAGGGCCAUCGCUCAACGGAUAAAAGGUACUCCGGGGAUAACAGGCUGAUACCGCCCAAGAGUUCAUAUCGACGGCGGUGUUUGGCACCUCGAUGUCGGCUCAUCACAUCCUGGGGCUGAAGUAGGUCCCAAGGGUAUGGCUGUUCGCCAUUUAAAGUGGUACGCGAGCUGGGUUUAGAACGUCGUGAGACAGUUCGGUCCCUAUCUGCCGUGGGCGCUGGAGAAUUGAGGGGGGCUGCUCCUAGUACGAGAGGACCGGAGUGGACGCAUCACUGGUGUUCGGGUUGUCAUGCCAAUGGCACUGCCCGGUAGCUAAAUGCGGAAGAGAUAAGUGCUGAAAGCAUCUAAGCACGAAACUUGCCCCGAGAUGAGUUCUCCCUGAGACUUUAAGUCUCCUGAAGGAACGUUGAAGACGACGACGUUGAUAGGCCGGGUGUGUAAGCGCAGCGAUGCGUUGAGCUAACCGGUACUAAUGAACCGUGAGGCUUAACCUUACAACGCCGAAG
This 2922-nucleotide ribosomal RNA is filed under the name Klebsiella pneumoniae. Its description in RNAcentral is "bacterial LSU rRNA". It matches the Rfam family "Bacterial large subunit ribosomal RNA". The record is from RNAcentral. Lineage: Bacteria; Pseudomonadati; Pseudomonadota; Gammaproteobacteria; Enterobacterales; Enterobacteriaceae.